AUUAUAUGUCAAUUAUACCUUAAUAACACUGCUAAAAUUAAAAGGAAGAGAACAAUUUCCGCUUUAUUUAUCUCCCUGGGUUGUUGUGUCCCUAGGAUUACGUAAUAAUCAUAAAAGCACUUGGAAUAAUAAAAACUAGAUAAACGGGACGUAUCCUAUUGCCGAUGACUUUCUGCCUCUAUAAAUAGCCGCUGCCUUACGUGGGAGUGGAGAGUAAGAGCUGAAAGAUGCAUGAAAGAAAAUAGGAAGAUCUCCCUGAAAAAGUGACAAGGCAGAUGGGAAGGGGCCUGUAUUAGUCAGGGUUCUCCAGAGAAACAACCAAUAGUGAGCACAUGUGAGCGUGUGUGUGAUUAUCAUAAAGAGUUGGCUCGCACAGUCAUGGAGGCUGAGAAGUCCCAGGAUCUGCAGUCGGCAAGCUGGAGACCCGGGAGAGCCGAUGGUGCAGCUCCGUCUGAGUCCAAAGGCCUGAGCAGCAGGAGAGCCGGCGGCGCGGACGCAGCCCAAACGCCCAGGCUGGAGACCCGGAAGAGCCGAGGUUUCACUUUAAGUCCCAGGCAGAGUGAAGACAAUGUCCCAGCUCGAAGGCAGACAGGCAGGAGGAGUUCCCUCUUCCUCAGCCUAUUUGUUCUACUCUAGGCCUUCGACUGAUUGCUGAGACCCUCUCAUUAGGGAGGACAGUCUGCUUUGCUAAAUCCACCAAUUUAAAUGUUAAUCUCACCCAAAACGCUCUCACGGACAGAAGACUGUUGUCUAAAUAUCUGGGCAUCCUGUGGUCCAAUCCAUGUGACAUGUAAAAUUAACCAUCACAGGGACUAUUACUUACUGAGCUCCUGUUUAUAGCAAACCUCUCUUAUCCCAACCUGUAUUGGUUACAGAUAAACCCCAAAGGGACAAAGAGGUGGUAUCACUUGCCCAAGAACACAGGGCUGCCAAAAUGACAGAGCUGGAUUUAAAUUUCAUCUCACCUGAGUCUACUGCAGCAAGCUCCACUUCCUAGGAUCCCAAAAUUCAGAGCUGAAUGAGCCCUUACAGAUUAUCUAGUCCCCAUCCGCCCUUUUACGGAAAUCUAGAGGUGAAGUGACAAACUGAGGUUGCACAGCAAGUCACUGAGAGAGUGGGGCUCCUGCUUCCGUGUCAUCUGGGGCUCCUUCUGCCACACCGCCCGUCCCGACUGCAUCUUUGGCCACUUCUCCCAGUCUAGCCUGGGAGGGGAGAAAAGCCUGCUCUGAGAUGACGUUCUGCCCUCAGGGCUCAACAGCUGGAGAGAAUGUUCCCACAGAUUGCAUCUUUUCUUCCCGGCUCCUCCUUACAACGUGGUCUGAUGGAAAAUGCAGAAGCCUCAUCCUUUUAGCAUUUAAUGCAGAGCGACUCUGAGAGGGAGGUAUUAGCGCUAACUCCAUCUUGUAGAGUCAAGUCUCUGCUUCCUGAGGACUCGAACAUCUCAAAGAGCUCUUCCAAGCAACGGCCUCAUUUUUUCAGAUACUACAGCCAAGACCCAGUGAGAGGAAGUACUUUGCUUGUGGUCAUACAACCAGUAAGUGGAACGGCUGAAAUCUGAUGGACUGAAGUUCCUGCUCUUUUCUUUAGGUCUCUGCAUGAAACAGCUCUUCCCUUAAGAGAAAUCAGCACACGAGCAUUAAAAUAGGCCCUUUGGAAGUCAGAGGACACAGUCGCUCCAGGUUUUAACUGCUCUAUAAAUGCUCCCCUGCUUCCGAGGGUGCAGAUCUGAGCGUCUCCCGCGUAUCUCACAGAGGACACGUAUUCUGACACUGAGGAGAAGAUGAAAGCAACUCCGCGUCCAAGACUCAUAAAGUUAGCCCCUUUGCAUAGAUGUACAGCUUUCCCUGCAGUUGGAAACUCACUGAAAGCCAGACCUGCUGUGCAGAGGAGAGGAGAAGCGGGCUGAGCUCAGCUUCCUUCUCCGCUGCCCCCACGGCGGGGACCCGACCAGCUCCUGAUGCUGCAGCUUCCACAGCUCAGAUUCACCGCAGGGAACUACAUAGCCUUUCUCCGCUCUCAGAAUCCCGACUGUCCACAGAGUCCGUCCUUUCUUGCUGGGCUCCUGCUUCUCUCUCUUCUCUGGAGCUGCCAGCUUCCUCUCUUCCCUCGGUAGGGCUCCCAUCUCCUCAUCCCCCACCCUGGAAGCUGAGGAGCCACCAUCAAACAGCUCCACAAACACUCUCUUACUUGCUGCCCCUAAAGUCAAGCCCAUGGCCCUUCUGUUACAUGAGUCUCACUGUGGAAUCUAAUCCAAGGGGAUAACUGAAAGUAGGUUGGCAUUACUGGGAGAAGAAUGGAUGGGGGCCACUGCAGAUGAAGGUGGACAGGAGGGCAGGGACCACCCCAUGCAGGAACUCGCAGGCCUUGUUAAGGACUUUGGACUUAUCUCAAAAGCAAACGGAAGCCACUGAGUGAUUUUAAGCAGGAGCACAAGAUGAGAUGUGAGUUUUAGGAAAAUGGCUCUUGUGGCCAAGGGGAAGAUUGGUGAGGAGAAAAAAGGGACAAGACUAGAGACCAAGGGCAAUAAUCUGGCCUGCUUUGUCAGGUAAGGAGCUCCCUGUCACUGGAGGAUGCAAACAGAGAUAGAGAAGAUGGAUUCCUGUGAUGGAUACACAGUUGGACUAGCUCAUGCCUGAGGUUCCUUUCAGCUCAGAGACACCAAGAUUCUUUGGGAGAAAACUUACCUGCCCUGGUCCAACCUCCACUCCCCAAGUUCACAGGCUGCGAAACUGAGACACACCAUGGACUGGAGGCGGGUCUGCGACUGUGGUGUCUCAGUCUGAGUCUGAGUAGGUUUCUGUCUCCACAGCAUACGUGAGGUCUCUCAGCCAGUGCCCCCAUUUGGGGACAAGGGGUGGUUCCAUUUUGUUGUGCAACAGCUCAUAAAUCCAGGAAUUAAAAACAAAGGGGAUUCUGUUGCAGGUAAAUACCAUUUGAAAUACAAUCUCUGUGAGGGCUUUAUGUUUGUCACGAAUUUUAUAAAUUGUUGCAGUAAUUAACAAGGCAUAAAACAGGCCUCUACCCCAUCCGGAAAGGCCUUCCUGAAUGCCCCAUUGUCGGACAUGCCACAUGGGCUCCCAGAGUGGCGGUGCCCUCGGUGAUGCUGGUGUGGGAUGAGGGUGGGGGCAUGCCACCCUGGGAAAAACGCCUCCAUUCACGGGAGGCAGUUUAAUGGGCUCAUUUUAGGUGGCUUAGAGAAUGACACCGAGAUUUACCUCCUGGGUCCUUCCCUCAAUAAAUUAAAAUGAGGCCUGGGGUCUGGGGGACAGUGGGACCUUCCUCUGCAUUUCAGUCAGAAGCUGGGCAACCAGAACAGUUUUCUCCCUUGCUGUGACUGCAUGCAUUUGGGGAAUUUUCCCACAUUUUCUCUUGUUUUCUUUCUCUCUGGGAAAACUGUCAAACACUGUAUGGAAAAUAAAGACCUCAAUUCAUGAACACAG
This 3440-nucleotide long non-coding RNA is filed under the name Equus asinus (donkey). RNAcentral describes it as "lncRNA (ENSEASG00005027842.1)". Lineage: Eukaryota; Metazoa; Chordata; Mammalia; Perissodactyla; Equidae. The record is from RNAcentral.